This 807-nucleotide ribosomal RNA is filed under the name Desulfosporosinus sp. enrichment culture clone E3. RNAcentral's name for it is "bacterial SSU rRNA". It matches the Rfam family "Bacterial small subunit ribosomal RNA", at positions 8 to 694 of the family's 1533-position model. The record is from RNAcentral. Lineage: Bacteria; Bacillati; Bacillota; Clostridia; Eubacteriales; Desulfitobacteriaceae.
AGGGUUUGAUUAUGGCUCAGGACGAACGCUGGCGGCGUGCCUAACACAUGCAAGUCGAACGGUCUAAUGCUUAACACUGAGUGUUCAGUGAGGUUGGGACAGCGAGAGCGCGAAGCAUGAGCGCUCCACGCAAUUAAAAGUGCCAACAUACUUGGGAAACGGAACGCUGAGUGUUAAGUAUUAGAUAGUGGCGGACGGGUGAGUAACGCGUGGGUAACCUACCCAACAAACCGGGACAACCCUUGGAAACGAGGGCUAAUACCGGAUACGCUUAUAAGUUGGCAUCAACGUAUAAGGAAAGGUGGCCUCUGAAUAUGCUGCCGAUGAUGGAUGGACCCGCGUCUGAUUAGCUGGUUGGUGGGGUAAAGGCCUACCAAGGCGACGAUCAGUAGCCGGCCUGAGAGGGUGAACGGCCACACUGGGACUGAGACACGGCCCAGACUCCUACGGGAGGCAGCAGUGGGGAAUCUUCCGCAAUGGACGAAAGUCUGACGGAGCAACGCCGCGUGUAUGAUGAAGGUCUUCGGAUUGUAAAGUACUGUUUUUAGGGAAGAACGGUCUCUUCAGGAAUAUGGAGGAGACAUGACGGUACCUAAGGAGGAAGCCCCGGCUAACUACGUGCCAGCAGCCGCGGUAAUACGUAGGGGGCGAGCGUUGUCCGGAAUUAUUGGGCGUAAAGGGCGCGUANGCGGGUAUUUAAGUCCGGUGUGAAAGAUCAGGGCUCAACCCUGAGAGUGCAUCGGAAACUGGGUAUCUUGAGGACAGGAGAGGAAAGUGGAAUUCCACGUGUAGCGNGAAAUGCGUAGA